RNAcentral lists this ribosomal RNA (514 nucleotides) under uncultured Acidobacteriota bacterium. RNAcentral's name for it is "bacterial SSU rRNA". It matches the Rfam family "Bacterial small subunit ribosomal RNA", at positions 38 to 532 of the family's 1533-position model. Lineage: Bacteria; Pseudomonadati; Acidobacteriota. The record is from RNAcentral.
GGCGGCGUGCCUAACACAUGCAAGUCGAACGAGAAAGUCCCUUCGGGGGAUAAGUAAAGUGGCGCACGGGUGAGUAACACGUAGGUAAUCUACCCUCGGGUGGGGAAUAACCCAGGGAAACUUGGGCUAACACCGCAUAAUGCAGCGGCACCACAUGGUGACAGUUGUUAAAGCGGGGGAUCUUAGGACCUCGCGCCUGAAGAGGAGCCUGCGGCGGAUUAGCUAGUUGGUGAGGUAACGGCUCACCAAGGUGACGAUCCGUAGCCGGCCUGAGAGGGCGGUCGGCCACACUGACACUGACAUACGGGUCAGACUCCUACGGGAGGCAGCAGUCGGGAAUUUUGGGCAAUGGGCGAAAGCCUGACCCAGCAACGCCGCGUGAAGGAUGAAAUCCCUCGGGAUGUAAACUUCGCAGGAAUGGGAAGAAUUAGUAGGGGUCAAUACCCCCUAUGAUGACGGUACCAUUUGUAAGCUCCGGCUAACUCCGUGCCAGCAGCCGCGGUAAUACGGGGGA